UACAUGGGGUGCAAACGUUGCUCGGAAUUAUUGGGCGUAAAGCGCGCGUAGGCGGUUACUUAAGUCGGAUGUGAAAGCCCUCGGCUUAACUGAGGAAGUGCAUCCGAAACUGAGUAGCUAGAGUACGAAAGAGGGUCGCGGAAUUCCCGGUGUAGAGGUGAAAUUCGUAGAUAUCAGGAGGAACACCGGUGGCGAAGGCGGGUCUCUGGGCCGUAACUGACGCUGAGGAGCGAAAGCAUGGGGAGCGAACAG
RNAcentral lists this ribosomal RNA (252 nucleotides) under uncultured bacterium. Its description in RNAcentral is "partial 16S ribosomal RNA". It matches the Rfam family "Bacterial small subunit ribosomal RNA", at positions 524 to 775 of the family's 1533-position model. The record is from RNAcentral.